AAGGAGUCGGCACGAGCCAGAGACGCCUAGAAUGUGGUCCAAACACCAGGCGCUUCAAGUGAGGAGCAGUCGAAGAGCGGAAACAGAAUCUCGAGGGUGAGAACAGCGUCUUGAUCUCACUCUGAAAAAGAGGGGGGAAAAGUGUAAUGUGGAUGGAAAACUCCAAUGAGAGGAGUUGGGGCCAUGAAAGUGCUAACAUGAGAGUUUGGGAAAAGCACAUCAAGUAGGAAAAGUGAGCAGCCAAAGAAGUCAGGAAGGAAACAGGGAAAGAAAAGCCUUGGGAAGCAGUGAGAAAGCUUGUCAGGUUCAGGAACUUGGGGAGAAGGCAGAAAGGGGUCUGUGAAAGUCACUUGGGGUCACUUGGCGUUGGCUUUGGGCUCUCGGGUGACAAGUCAGAAACCAUCUUGCACUUAGUUCCAAACACUUUGAGAAAUGCAAAAAGUCAGAGCCACAGAGAUUUUGGAGCCCGUGUGUCAGCUGGUCUCAGCUCACUGGUAAGAAAUUGAGAAGUGAUGUGAUGUGCCCCGGGGCCUCAUGGCCAGGAAGGGACAGAGGGGUCAUGAACUGGGUUUUGGUUUUGAGUCACUUCCUCCCACCCCCAUGUUUCUUGCAUUGGAGGCGAAUCCUGGGCAUUGCUGGGCAUGAAGUCUCUGCCCUGCACUGUCCUGAGUCCUGACUCUGAAUGAGGCAUUGUGUCCUUACUGGGUGCAGGACUCAGUCUAGUGGGGCCCCUGCCUGCUCUUGCUCUCCUGUCAUCCUCACAAUAAUCCUUCGAUCGUGGAUAUUGGUAUCAUCCCCAGUAUAGACACAGGAAAGUGAGAUCUAGAGAAUUAAUGUCUGCCCACGGUCACGGAGCCACUGAGUUUUCUCCACAGCGAACCCAUCACUGUUCAGAGUUUCUAGAGGUGGUUUGCCUUGUUAAGAAAGUUUCCAUACAAGUCAGUACAGACUCGAAACUCUGAUCAAUCACCACUGCCUGGCCCCUUGGUGACCAAAUGCCUCCUUGGCUGUACGCCUGGUUAUAUGUUUGUGAUACCACACAUUUUAUCCAUGGCAUUGGCCUAAUAAAGACUGGUUUUAUGUGUAAUGAAGAUAAAGACAAGGACAGCUGGUUUACCGAUGACUGAUGGCAACCCCAGGCACUUUCCCUGCUGGGCACAUCUCAUCUUCCCUCUGCAGGUAACAGCAGCAGCUACGGCAGUUACCUUGAUCCACUCAGCUCAGAAGCAGCGGGCAGUACUGAGCCCUGGAGGCCAGGCAGGCUCAGGAUCUGGCCAACUUCUUUACUCCUCACCUGUGCCUGGUCCAGGCCUCUCCUGGGUCCCAGGGGACUUGGUGGAUGCUCAGUCAUUGCUGUACCAUUGUCAUGACAGCAGCUGGAGGAAAGAUACAGCAGUGAACAAAGCACAAGAGACCUCAGCCUCAUGGAACUCAAAUCCCUGUCCUUGUGGAGCGACACAGACAACACACAAAAUUUCACAUACUGUAGAACGUCGAAUAGACUUGAAACAACUCUCCACCUGAAAGGCAGCACGACUGGCCACAUAUUGAGGAAGUAAAUAUCAAGGACACCAGGGUGACCAUCCCAUCUGGAGUCCUCGAUGCUUUUACAAGCAGAGCUUUGGCUGCCAGUCUUCAGCAAGCCAUGAGGCCAGAAAAUGGGGGAGAACGGCAAGCCAGGCCGGGGAAUUUCUCCAGCUGAGGAACGCGAGGCCUCUUAUCCCACCAAGCUCAGCGACCAACAGCUUCUGAUAAAACUCAAGUAACACUGUCAGAAGUGGAGCCCUCGCCCGUUCAUCAGGUAAAUGGCUUUCUGUUUUCACCAGUUAACAAACAGCCGCUGGAAACCUAUUCUCUAUUUGCUACAGACCUCUGUGUGGGGUUUAGAAGAAUAGAUUCUUGCUCUCAAAAAUCUUCAAUCUCAGUAGGGAAGACUGCUGAAACGAGCCAUUUUAGAGCUAUACUGUUACAGUAAUUGGGUAAGAGGGACAGAGAAGGGCUUAAGAGGGGACUCCAUCUGUGUAUGUGUGUACAGGGGGUGGGGACUAUAUCAUAUGAAUUUCUAUGUAGACGUAUCAUAAACUAUCUUAUCAGGAAUCACUUGGUGUGUUUCUGUGUUCUGCAGUGAACUCCCUUAUAUGUAUAUCCUGGUGAUUGCUUGGGAAUAUAUCUAGCCUAUAAACUUCUGGCACUGGAAUUGCUUGGUUAAAGGGUGAACAUUUCCAAAUUAUUUUCCAAGAAGGCAGCACCGGUCUCCUGUCCCUCCCUUCUCCUCCCUUCCCCACAGAUCCUCCAGGUCCUUACCAGCUGGCUGCAGCAAGCAUCUUAAUUUUUGCCAAUUCUAUAUGUGAAGAUAGUAUCCUGUUGUUUAGAUUUGCACUGUUAUGUUUAUUGGAUGCUUGUAUUUCUUUUUCUAGGGACUGGCAGGUGGUUCUUAGAGGGAACUUGAACUGGAGUUUCCCUCAUUUUGUCAACACUGUUGUAAAUUGCUGGUUUUCUUGUCUUUCACCAGCCCCUACCCUAUGCCUUAGCCCUCAGACUAGGAGAUCCAGAAACCUGGUCUUCUGGAAAUCUCGCUUCCCCAGCCUCUAGUGCAGUGUCUGCCUGUGCUGGUUUCCUUUUGGCUAAAUCUUAUUCCAUCUGCCACAUUUGUGGCUGACGCAACGUUACAUUUCAGCCUUACUUUCUAAAAGGGAAGGUGGGGCGGGCGUGGACUAGGUCUUUGAGAAGCUCCAAAGGAAAACAAAUUGGGCCUCCUAGCCUGAGCCAGGAAAUACAACAAAGAAUACUCCCGCCCCGCAACAGUGAAGGGAAAAAAAAGGCAAUCCUAAGUACUCCAAGCAGUGCCAAAUUCUGGGCAACUUAUUCAAGAGAGUUCACCAUAUACAAGAUGAGGUAGUCCUGAUGUAUUUACUGGAAACCAUGUUAAGGUAGGGGAUUCUGAUUUAGACUUUUAGACAUGACUAUAGUUUAGAAAUCUCACCAAAAUUUUUUUCCUUCCCAUCUAAUUCAACAAAUAUUUACUGACCAGCUAUAUGUGCUGAGCGUAUUGGGGGAGACAGCGAUCUCCAAGAUUGGGCUCCUGCUCCCUUUCCUCUUCCCCCUAGAUAAGAUGAGCCCAGUAAUCUAUGCCAAGUGCCAUUUUAGUGUUAUCAAAAAACUGUUGAUGGGGAAGGAGCAGUCACUUCCUGAUGGCUGCUGACCAGGUCAAGGUCAGUGGCCCCUGACAGACAAAUGGAUGGGCAGACAGACUUCUUGGAGUGAGACUAGGGAAGGCAAGCUGGGGUCCCACUUGGUUUCACAAGACCUGGAGGAUCUCAUUUUAAAGUGCUUCUUAAGUGGAUUUUGUAUCUGAUUGCAUUCAGGCAUUCUUCACAGCUCUUAAUGGUUUUGAAAUGGAUGAAAUGCAAGUGGAGGGAGGAAGGAGACCAAAGUGUAAAACCCAAGCUGUGUCAGAGAUGGGUUAAGGUGCUCCAGGGAGAAGAUUUCCUUUAUGCAAAUGACCCUGGGCCCUUUGAAGUGCACCCCGCUCUGGAAACUCUGGAAAC
Physeter macrocephalus (sperm whale) is the source of this 3548-nucleotide long non-coding RNA. RefSeq lists it as uncharacterized. The transcript is spliced from 4 exons. The record is from RefSeq and is a predicted model, not a curated record. Lineage: Eukaryota; Metazoa; Chordata; Mammalia; Artiodactyla; Physeteridae.